This 492-nucleotide ribosomal RNA is filed under the name uncultured bacterium. RNAcentral describes it as "partial 16S ribosomal RNA". It matches the Rfam family "Bacterial small subunit ribosomal RNA", at positions 29 to 507 of the family's 1533-position model. The record is from RNAcentral.
AGUGAACGCUGGCGGUAGGCCUAACACAUGCAAGUCGAACGGCAGCACAGUAAGAGCUUGCUCUUACGGGUGGCGAGUGGCGGACGGGUGAGGAAUACAUCGGAAUCUACUUUUUCGUGGGGGAUAACGUAGGGAAACUUACGCUAAUACCGCAUACGACCUACGGGUGAAAGCAGGGGAUCUUCGGACCUUGCGCGAUUGAAUGAGCCGAUGUCGGAUUAGCUAGUUGGCGGGGUAACGGCCCACCAAGGCGACGAUCCGUAGCUGGUCUGAGAGGAUGAUCAGCCACACUGGAACUGAGACACGGUCCAGACUCCUACGGGAGGCAGCAGUGGGGAAUAUUGGACAAUGGGCGCAAGCCUGAUCCAGCAAUACCGCGUGGGUGAAGAAGGCCUUCGGGUUGUAAAGCCCUUUUGUUGGGAAAGAAAAGCAGCAGGUUAAUACCCAGCUGUUCUGACGGUACCCAAAGAAUAAGCACCGGCUAACUUCGUG